RNAcentral lists this transfer RNA (83 nucleotides) under Echinostoma caproni. It matches the Rfam family "tRNA". Rfam says of the family: Transfer RNA (tRNA) molecules are approximately 80 nucleotides in length. Their secondary structure includes four short double-helical elements and three loops (D, anti-codon, and T loops). Further hydrogen bonds mediate the characteristic L-shaped molecular structure. tRNAs have two regions of fundamental functional importance: the anti-codon, which is responsible for specific mRNA codon recognition, and the 3' end, to which the tRNAs corresponding amino acid is attached (by aminoacyl-tRNA synthetases). tRNAs cope with the degeneracy of the genetic code in two manners: having more than one tRNA (with a specific anti-codon) for a particular amino acid; and 'wobble' base-pairing, i.e. permitting non-standard base-pairing at the 3rd anti-codon position. Lineage: Eukaryota; Metazoa; Platyhelminthes; Trematoda; Plagiorchiida; Echinostomatidae. The record is from Rfam by way of RNAcentral.
GGCCUCGUAGCUCAAAUGGUAGGGUGUGCGCUGUACAAAAGCGUAGGCAAAGUCCAGUAUGGGUUCAAAUCCCGCCGAGGCUA